Molecule: long non-coding RNA, 1260 nt
Filed under: Toxoplasma gondii VEG
Lineage: Eukaryota; Apicomplexa; Conoidasida; Eucoccidiorida; Sarcocystidae
Source: RNAcentral
UGUGUGGCCAGCAAAAGGUGUGCCUAAAGCAAUCAAAUUCUUAGCAGUUUAACCUGUCGUCGUGAACAACGUGCGUCAGUCGUUGUCAAUCGAACGUCUGGAUGUAGGUCAGGAGACGCGGGAUCUUCCCUUUGUCCAGGAGGGUAACCAGGAGAGUGAAUCGGUAGUUGUCAGUUCUUGCAUUAGUCCUCGUGCAUAUCACACAUCUCUGUAAAACUCAAUGAAGUGACGUUCCGCGUAGACGGAAAGCGUUGCGGAGGGUGCAACGCUUUUCUUCGACUAACACUCGAAUGCCCUGGUAGCUAUGCGGCUUGUCUCGUGUAGUGGUGCCAGUUGGGUGCUGCUGAAGACAUCGGCGUGGCACCUGACCCGGCGACAUUCCGGAGUUCCCAUGACAGAAAAGAAAGGCGGGAUCGGCGAGAGACAGCAACAAUCCGGACUCGAAUGAGCUCGGUAACACAAAGAGAUUUCUUGUGGUACCUCAGUGCCCGACAACUGGCUGUGUGAGAGACACGCUAUGCAUUUCCUCGGGCACUGGCUCUCCACUUUUUCUUGCCUUAUCUACAGGCAGGUGUGUUAGCCGUUGUUGCCUUUCUGAGAUCCAGAGUGAAGCAACUUCCGACGGGCACGUGGUAUCUGUUCUUCGCGUUAGCUUAUGUUCGCCUUCCAGACGAUGGCCAAGAAGUAAAGACACUGCAAAGUUCCACGGAAGCCAACGGUCUAGUUUCAAGCGGCAGUCGCUUCCGAUUAAUAACCGGCAGGCUGAGUCGACGAGGGAAUCACCGCAAACCUCCGCUCGCCAGUCUCCAAUAACAAAGCGAAGUCGCUCGACGCGGCGGGUGUUCCGUCGGCGGAUACCAAGGCUGCUGAAAAUCAACCAGAGGCAGCGCAAGUUUGAUGGAUUGAAAAGAAAGCUGCUGCGACAGUUUCUAUGUGAGUCACCCCGCCUGCUUCCGCCGUCCCCCUUUUCGGAUUUCAGACCAAGAGCAACCCCAGACAACUGCGUUUCCCUCGCUUACCGAGACAAAGCGCCAGGGUGAGGUUGAAUACCUUCAUGGCAGUGUGUGCACGAAGUGAACUGUGGCCAAAUAAACAAUCGCAGUCACGCCUAUCUUGUCUUUGAAAAUAGCAAGUGGGGAUGCAGAGAAACAUUCGGUAAGGGGGAUCCCCUGACCACGUUGCACCAGCCGUUGAUGCGAUCAUCAAAGUCGUAGAUGUAGUUAAACUAACGAAGAGACUCAAGGUUGAAUCUGAUUUAGG